CUAGAUUAGCAGGCCUUGAUCCUACAACACGUUAGUUAACAACUAAACACCUAAACCAGCGGGCUUUAAUCU
This 72-nucleotide transfer RNA is filed under the name Gekko ernstkelleri. RNAcentral's name for it is "tRNA-Asn". Lineage: Eukaryota; Metazoa; Chordata; Lepidosauria; Squamata; Gekkonidae. The record is from RNAcentral.